This 440-nucleotide ribosomal RNA is filed under the name uncultured bacterium. Its description in RNAcentral is "bacterial SSU rRNA". It matches the Rfam family "Bacterial small subunit ribosomal RNA", at positions 958 to 1398 of the family's 1533-position model. The record is from RNAcentral.
AACGCGAAGAACCUUACCCAGGCUUGACAUGCAGUGGAAUAUAACAGAGAUGUUAUAGCCCUUCGGGGCCGCUGCACAGGUGCUGCAUGGCUGUCGUCAGCUCGUGCCGUGAGGUGUUGGGUUAAGUCCCGCAACGAGCGCAACCCUUAUCAUUAGUUGCCAACACGUAAAGGUGGGAACUCUAAUGAGACUGCCUGGGUUAACCAGGAGGAAGGUGAGGAUGACGUCAAGUCCGCAUGGCCCUUAUGUCUGGGGCAACACACGUGCUACAAUGGUCGGUACAGAAGGCAGCGAAACCGCAAGGUGAAGCAAAUCCCGAAAGCCGGCCUCAGUUCAGAUUGUAGUCUGCAACUCGACUACAUGAAGUUGGAAUUGCUAGUAAUGGCAGGUCAGCACACUGCCGUGAAUACGUUCCCGGGCCUUGUACACACCGAGACGAC